AGGCAUGGUUUGUCCUUUAAUUACCUUCUGCAUGGAUAUUUAGGCAAGCUCAAAGUAAAAUAAAACUAAUAAUAAUAAUAAAGCAUGGAUAUUUGGGCAAGCUGAAAGUAAAAUAAAACAUAUUAUGUCCUUAUACUUAGAGAAUUUUAAACUUGAAAGAGAAAUGUAAUUGAAGAUUGGUUUUAUUUAGCCACUAUUGCCCUCUAGUGACCAAUAUAAACAUUACAAUGAAAGAAUAAAAACCUUUAACAAUGUCAAAUACAUUUUUGUUCAGGUUUUAAAUGCCAGUCAGGUAAGGGCCAUCUUACAUUAAAUGCCACCACACCAGGAAAUACAAAAUCCAAAAAUCCUCACAUUAAGGCCUAAACAUGCAGUUUUGCUCACUUCAGGAGGUUUGCACAUACAGAGGCACAUUAUUUCCUUUUUGACUCCAAAAAAACCCACAGCGCCUUUGGGAACUUUAAUGCUUUGUCCCCUUCUGUGAUUCUUAACUGGAUCAGGCCCAUGGCACCUGAAGUUCAGAUCACUAACAUGCUUCUCUUUGUAAACUGAAGUUUAGGCAGAAGGGUGGAGGUAUGUUGCAUCUACCAGUCACACAGGAAGUAUAAUGAAACUUGUAUUUUCUCCACGUACUCCUGUGUCUUCAACAGCUGGGAAAGAGGCUGACCUUCAGCACUCCCUCUGCAGGGCUGCUCGUCGUGGUCGUCGUCGGUCCCCCAGCCGGGGCUGGAGCGCCGGAGGAGCCGGGCGGGGCCGCAGCGGGCGAGCGGCGAAGGGCCCUCGGCUU
RNAcentral lists this long non-coding RNA (787 nucleotides) under Pogona vitticeps (central bearded dragon). RNAcentral describes it as "lncRNA (ENSPVIG00000024541.1)". The record is from RNAcentral. Lineage: Eukaryota; Metazoa; Chordata; Lepidosauria; Squamata; Agamidae.